RNAcentral lists this ribosomal RNA (120 nucleotides) under Pogona vitticeps (central bearded dragon). The record is from RNAcentral. Lineage: Eukaryota; Metazoa; Chordata; Lepidosauria; Squamata; Agamidae.
UCUAUAGCACCAUAUCACCCUAAACAUAUUUGAUCUUGUCUGAUUUUGGAAGCUAAGCAGAAUCAGGCCUGAUUGGUAUUGGGAUGGGAGUCCACAAGGGAUACCAGGUAGGGAUAAGAA